This 253-nucleotide ribosomal RNA is filed under the name uncultured bacterium. Its description in RNAcentral is "partial 16S ribosomal RNA". It matches the Rfam family "Bacterial small subunit ribosomal RNA", at positions 524 to 776 of the family's 1533-position model. The record is from RNAcentral.
UACAGAGGUGGCGAGCGUUGUUCGGAUUUACUGGGCGUAAAGGGUGCGUAGGUGGCUUUGUGUGUCGGGCGUGAAAUCCCACCGCUCAACGGUGGAACGCCGCCCGAAACUGCAGGGCUGGAGUGCAGGAGAGGAGAGCGGAAUUCUUGGUGUAGCGGUGGAAUGCGUUGAUAUCAAGAAGAACACCAGUGGCGUAGGCGGCUCUCUGGAAUGCAACUGACACUGAGGCACGAAAGCGUGGGGAGCAAACAGG